This is a long non-coding RNA of Oxyura jamaicensis (ruddy duck), 830 nucleotides long. RefSeq lists it as uncharacterized. NCBI's taxonomy places the organism in Eukaryota, Metazoa, Chordata, Aves, Anseriformes, Anatidae. The record is from RefSeq and is a predicted model, not a curated record. The transcript has 2 exons.
UCUUAUCCAGCUGAGCAAUUUUGUUGUUUGAAUUUGUCUGCUGAUAUGAACAGAGGUGCAAGCUUCUAGACUUCUCCACUCUGAUGGGAAUGCAUGGAGCUAUACUGCUGCUGCACCCUGAGCUUGUCAGCUGGUGAAAGGAGGCUGUCCUGAUGUUGUGUCCUUCUUGGUUUAAAUCUCUGUUUCCUCCAGAGUCCGCAGCUCAGAGUGCAAAGAUAACCUGCAUUUCCAAAGUCCACUGUCUGUCCUGUACCCGGUGGAUCUCAGACCUGUGAGGAAUUCUGUGGGGAAUGUAGGAAAAGAAAGGAGACACUGCUGAAGUCCCCCUAGCCUCUUUCCAGGUUUCAUUAGGGUGAGGUAAGGAAGGAUCUGAACAGAAAGGCUGAGCCUGCAGGCUGACUUUUUAGACACCUCCAUCCCACUUUACCUUCUAGAGCUAGAGCACAGUACCUGUUUCACCCCAGUACCCCCAGAAAAUAUGGAAAUGAGUUUAUUAUAGUAUUACAAAAGUCUUCGAUUUGUGACUUCUGUGAGUGUCCACAAGCGCUUUAGCUGGAUUAGCACUGGGAUCAUUCUGGAGCAGGAAAAAGCCCAGCCUAAGUGAGGAGAGCAUAUGGCCACUUUGGAAGGGAUUUGUUACUCUGCUACUGCUAUAAUAAAGGAUCAAACCAUUUUUCACCUUGUCAGUGUUAAAACUUUCACUGACUACAGUAGGUGCCAAAAUGUAAACAUGGAAUGUAAACAGUUUUUCUUAAAAGCACAAAAUAUUUUACCUGCCUUACAAAUUCUACUAGUUUACAAAUGUAUCUUUAUUAGAAAACUCAUUUCUA